This 252-nucleotide ribosomal RNA is filed under the name uncultured bacterium. RNAcentral's name for it is "partial 16S ribosomal RNA". It matches the Rfam family "Bacterial small subunit ribosomal RNA", at positions 524 to 776 of the family's 1533-position model. The record is from RNAcentral.
UACAGAGGUCUCAAGCGUUGUUCGGAUUCAUUGGGCGUAAAGGGUGUGUAGGUGGCGCCGUAAGUCGGGUGUGAAAUUUCGGAGCUUAACUCCGAAACUGCACUCGAUACUGCGGUGCUUGAGGACUGGAGAGGAGACUGGAAUUCAUGGUGUAGCAGUGAAAUGCGUAGAGAUCAUGAGGAAGACCAGUGGCGAAGGCGGGUCUCUGGACAGUUCUGACACUGAGACACGAAGGCCAGGGGAGCAAACGGG